GCCAGGAAGCAAACACAAGUGGAAGUGAGAUUCAAGAUUCCCCCUUCUGCACUCCUGCCUACCUUUAUCUUAGCAUGAGCCCUGACUCUCCCUGAGGGCAGGGACAGGGCAGGCUCCCAUCACCUCGGAUCCGCCCACUCUGGGGACAGAAGUGAAGCUGUAGUGUGGACCUUCUCGUGACUGCUUAUCUCAACAAACAUCACUUCUUCAAGACUCAUCCAUGGUGCACUGGGAGGUGAUGGCAUCCCCUUCUGUCUUCUUUUUAAUUAAAAAAAUAAUUUAUUUUUA
RNAcentral lists this long non-coding RNA (288 nucleotides) under Rattus norvegicus (Norway rat). Its description in RNAcentral is "long non-coding RNA NONRATT001314". Lineage: Eukaryota; Metazoa; Chordata; Mammalia; Rodentia; Muridae. The record is from RNAcentral.